This 110-nucleotide transfer RNA is filed under the name Aureobasidium subglaciale EXF-2481. It matches the Rfam family "tRNA". Rfam says of the family: Transfer RNA (tRNA) molecules are approximately 80 nucleotides in length. Their secondary structure includes four short double-helical elements and three loops (D, anti-codon, and T loops). Further hydrogen bonds mediate the characteristic L-shaped molecular structure. tRNAs have two regions of fundamental functional importance: the anti-codon, which is responsible for specific mRNA codon recognition, and the 3' end, to which the tRNAs corresponding amino acid is attached (by aminoacyl-tRNA synthetases). tRNAs cope with the degeneracy of the genetic code in two manners: having more than one tRNA (with a specific anti-codon) for a particular amino acid; and 'wobble' base-pairing, i.e. permitting non-standard base-pairing at the 3rd anti-codon position. The record is from Rfam by way of RNAcentral. Lineage: Eukaryota; Fungi; Ascomycota; Dothideomycetes; Dothideales; Saccotheciaceae.
GGUCUCGUGGUCUAGCGGUAUGAUACUCGCUUAGGGAGGAUGCCUUACAGCAACCUUGAAAACUCUAAGCCAAUUGCGAGUGGUCCCGGGUUCGAUUCCCGGCGAGACCC